GGAUAGAAAGAGUAAAAUCAUCAUUAUGGAAUGGGACGUCCCUGUUUUCACCAGAGAAAGGUUGGUGGGUAUGAAAGAAUCCAUUAAAAGUUUAGAAAAUCAAAUGUCACUUAAAAUGGCCGCCGGGAUAAUUUAGCAUUUUGCUAAAGGAGGGGCAGGUGUCUUUUAACAGGCAGUUUUGAUUCCUCUCUUGUGGCCUCCUGCCAGUGUAGUCCAAGUUGCACUGACAAAGGAACGAAGGCUGCUUACAGCCAACCACAGUGCAGGCUGCAGGAAUGAGCCAUGUUGUUUCUAACCUGGGCAGCAAAUUCUCCCAACAAGGUAGGCAGCCAUCUUGCUGCAGCCAGGACUCUUUGCAGGCCUAAUGCAUCUUGCUUUUUUGUUCUGUUUUGAGACGUAUCAUUGUUAGAGGGAAGCAAAAUGUGGGCUGUGAAUCCUAGGGGACAGUAGACUCCGUCUUGCUGGUAUAAUCUUAAUAUUUACAAGCAGAGGAAGCAUGGCUGUAUUCCAGGCCAUCUGUAAACUUUGCUUCAACAACACAGGAAAGGCUGUGUGUAGAUUCCACCCAGUUGCCAGAGCUCAUUGUUGAGGAAGGUUGCUAAAGUCACUGCGACAUGUGCUCCAUUGUGACACGUCCCCUUGCUGGGUGACUUGCCAGACAUCUUGGGCAAGAGGGGAAUAAGCAAAGUGCCUCAUCUUUUCCUUUGUGGAGCAGUUCAAAGCAAGGUGUCUGCAAGUUUCCAGGGCCUUUUGAGAAAGAUGUUCUUGGUGCAAAGUCCUACUGGCCUGGAAGACGGAGGAGAGGAAAAUCCUUGUGUUUUUUCGAGCAACCCAGUGUUCUGAGGACAGAUGGGACUCGCUCUUAUUCUUAAGGGACUUUCCAUUGUGGACCCGCUCGCAGUGAACCCCUGCUCUCUGGGAGCAAGAAGUCAAACCUACUGGACAAUGUUCCGAGAUUUUAAAAAACUGGCCACAACUUUAUUGAUUCCUGGUGUAGGUUGGACAGGAUGCAGGAUAAAGAGUUGGCGAGGAUAAAGAGUUGGCAAGCUUUCCUCUGUUGCCAGCCUAGGAGUUCCCCAACGGCUGACCGCCUAACCCCAGGCGUUGCUCCUAGGGGGGAAAGGUGUUUGGAGCUACGGUCUGCAACAGCCGCCCACCCUGUGACCGGUUGAGCAGCCAAUACGCCGUUCCUUUUCUUCCGAUGGAACCCAAGAACAAGUCAACCCUCAAAGGCAUCAAGCCUGUCAGAGAAAAGGAACCGAGAAGUUAUAUUUCCAUUGAAAACAUGAAUGGCAGGAAUCAGGCAGCCAGCAAGACCUGUUCACUGCUGACAAAGGCGGCCAGACUCUUCAAUCUGAAGGUCAUUGUCUCUCCGGAGCUGACUGACCCACACCAUAGAUUCAGAGGAGGUAACC
Long non-coding RNA from Podarcis raffonei (Aeolian wall lizard), 1415 nucleotides. RefSeq lists it as uncharacterized. The transcript has 8 exons. The record is from RefSeq and is a predicted model, not a curated record. NCBI's taxonomy places the organism in Eukaryota, Metazoa, Chordata, Lepidosauria, Squamata, Lacertidae.